UACGUAGGGUGCGAGCGUUGUCCGGAAUUACUGGGCGUAAAGAGCUCGUAGGUGGUUUGUCGCGUUGUUCGUGAAAACUCACAACUCAAUUGUGGGCGUGCGGGCGAUACGGGCAGACUGGAGUACUGCAGGGGAGACUGGAAUUCCUGGUGUAGCGGUGGAAUGCGCAGAUAUCAGGAGGAACACCGGUGGCGAAGGCGGGUCUCUGGGCAUGAUCUGACGCUGAGGAGCGAAAGUGUGGGGAGCGAACAGG
RNAcentral lists this ribosomal RNA (253 nucleotides) under uncultured bacterium. RNAcentral describes it as "partial 16S ribosomal RNA". It matches the Rfam family "Bacterial small subunit ribosomal RNA", at positions 524 to 776 of the family's 1533-position model. The record is from RNAcentral.